Molecule: long non-coding RNA, 966 nt
Organism: Setaria italica (foxtail millet)
Lineage: Eukaryota; Viridiplantae; Streptophyta; Magnoliopsida; Poales; Poaceae
Exons: 3
Source: RefSeq, a predicted model, not a curated record
GCUGGAUGCCUGGAUGGUCUUCUCUUCACACGCUGCCACGCCUUUUCUGGUAGCGGCAUCGUGCCAACUGCCAGAUGGCAGAUGCUAACCUGAUACUACGUGCGUGAUUGCUUGGGCGCAUCACCCCUGCCCAAGCUCCCGGAAACCUUGGGUGAUUGGUUGCCUGAGCUUGGUAGUGGGUCUAGCCCAUGGCGUGCAAAAGGGGAUCCGAGCCUGGCUCCCAGGGUGUGGCAAAAAUCCUCAUUUCCCCGGAGUUAGGCUCGCUCGGUGCGGCAGCGAGCGUGUGGGUAGCAAAAAUGGCCGCGCGCGUGCAAGCAGGAAGGAGCACGGGAAGAAUUGGGUUACCGUCUCGAUUUCGCACCAUUCGCCGGCUAUAUAUCCUCACCUCUCCUCCUCCCUCGCGCUCACUCGCCAUUUUCGCCGUCACCGAGUAGAUCUUCACUGGAUUUGCGUUCUUUGGUUGUUUCAAGAGCUUCAGAUCUGCUGUUCCUCCCUCACUUCCCAUCUGAUUUGUUGGUUGACCGGCUUCCUACUGUUGUUGCGGUAUAGAAAGCAUUAACCCCUCCUCCUAUCUCCUCUCAUAAAUCUUGUGGUCGCGCUUAUAUUAUUGUGCAGUGCUCUGGAUGCUAUUUUUGUGAUGAAAAUGUUGUUGGAUUUGCUAUAUUCAUACUUGAUGGGAAAAGCUUAUUCAGUGAUGCUUUGUUUGUUCUGUUAAUCUAAGAAUUUGUCCAUGUCAGCGAUGCAUUGCCUGUAAUUCUGAGCAUGCUUGUCCAUGUUAGUGAUGCAUUUCCUGUAAUUUUGAGCAUACUUGUCCACGUCAAUGAUGACUUAACUAUUUAAUCUGAGCAUACUUGUCCAUGUCAAUAAUGCAUCUCCUAUUAAUCUGAGCAUAUUUGUCCAUGUCAAUGAUAUUUUUUAUGUUGAAAUGAGCACUUGUCCAUGCAUGUGAUGGUGCUUCAUGUUAAU